RNAcentral lists this ribosomal RNA (165 nucleotides) under uncultured bacterium. Its description in RNAcentral is "partial 16S rRNA". It matches the Rfam family "Bacterial small subunit ribosomal RNA", at positions 354 to 511 of the family's 1533-position model. The record is from RNAcentral.
GUAGGGAAUCUUCCACAAUGGGCGAAAGCCUGAUGGAGCAACGCCGCGUGUGUGAUGAAGGGUUUCGGCUCGUAAAACACUGUUGUAAGAGAAGAAUGACAUUGAGAGUAACUGUUCAAUGUGUGACGGUAUCUUACCAGAAAGGAACGGCUAAAUACGUGCCAC